This is a non-coding RNA of Myodes glareolus (Bank vole), 2399 nucleotides long. The record is from RefSeq and is a predicted model, not a curated record. Lineage: Eukaryota; Metazoa; Chordata; Mammalia; Rodentia; Cricetidae.
AGCAGCUGUGGUGGCUUCUGUGAAGUCAGAUAACCCUAGGUUUUGUAUGUCAAACCUCCUGAGGCUGCUUUCACAAUACUGUUCAGGAAGAGUCGACUGUUGUGACAGAAAACAGAACGAAGCUGCUCUGAAAUUCCAUCUUAUCCCUGUCGAAUGGCUGCCGUGUAGACAUCAAAUGACAACAAAUGUUGGCAAGAAUAUGGGGAAAGAGGAACCUUAUUCACGGCUGAUGACAAUGUCAACUGGUACAGCCACCCUGGAAGUCAAUGUGUCAAUGUGAAGGUUCCUGAAGAGAGAGAGAGAGAGAGAGAGAGAGAGAGAGAGAGAGAGAGAGAACAAGAACUACCACAUAACCAGCUGUACCCCUACCCCUUGAGGGUACGUGACUGAGGGGCACUCAGUCAGCACCCUUGCACAAGUAUUUACAGCUGUAGGAGUCACAAGAGCCAGGAGAUGGAACCAAUCUGGUUGCCCAUCAACAGCUGCAGGUUCUGGAACUUAGGAGAGAGACACCUUUGCGAAUGGAAGAAUUGUUCUGUCCACUCCACAGUGAUCCACGUUGGCCUGGAGAAGUCUCUAGAACUGAGUAAGAAGAAGGAAUUUUUGAGAAGACAAGCAGAGCUCUGAAACUAAAGAGGAAAUGACGACACACCCUCCAAAGUGACUCUCAUAUUCUGGCCUCUGUAGGAUGCAGGGGGAAUUCCUUUUGUGCCCGUGGGUUGUAGGAUAACCUCAGGACCUUGAUCUGCCACUUCUGUCUGCCUGGUGUGAUGGGUAAGGCCUGAACUACGAACUGGAAGAGUGACCUUCUGUUCCUAUUUCUUCAGCAACAGGCAGCCCUGGUGUUUAGAUCUGGUGUAACCUUUUGUUAUACAAGACCCUGCAGCCCCAGGUUCAUGUCCAUGGACUACCAUCAUUAGAAAUAACCUCCCAAUCCGGGCUCUUCCCACCUGUCAAAAGAAGGAAGAGUGUAAAGCACACUGCAAAAGACACCUCUGCGACCAUUGGGAGAAGUGUGAAGAAAAUAUACAGGGAAAAUCCUGUGUCCCUAGUUGUAUUUGUUUGGUCAUGAAGUGGUUACUGACUGUGGUCCAGUCAUGAGGACUUCUUCUUCUCCUCAUCCCAAGAGGAUGAAGGUUCACAGCUCUUGUGGUGAACAGCUUCAUGGUGAGCCGGUCACAGUGUGCUGGCCACAUCCGUGCCUUGCUGGCCUUAAGACCAAUCAGGAUGCUUGCCUCUCUGUUCUUUGGAGAUAUGGCACUGCUGUGACUUUAAUAAUAAGAGCAUUGCCUGUUUUGCUGCUGGCUAAAGUGGCCUGGUGUGUGGAUGUGAGCCCACAAGGCAGAGUUAGGGUUUCUGCUCCUCCUGAUCCUCACCCCAUAACUGGAAACUGGAGAGGCUUCUAAUACCCAAUACCCAAAGUUUUAGUCCCGAUGUGGCCACUGCACUUGCUAUUCCUUUUCUGUAAGGUGGAGCUACUUGACACUACCGUCUUCCUCACUGGCAUCUAGAGUCAAGGGGACAAUGCACAGGGGUGUUCCCGCAGGACGACACCUCACAGGCAAUCGCUCUUAUUCUUAAUCCACUUCCUGUCUUCACCUAAGCAAGCGCUUUCUAGUCAAAGAACCUGCCAUCUCCAUCACACUGACUCUCCUGCUAGCACACACACACACACGCACACACACACACACACGCACGCACACACACACAUAUGUGUGUAUGAGUAUUUGCCAGCACCCACACAGACCAGAAGAGGGUACAAGAUUCCCCUGGAACUGGAGUUACUGAUGGUUGUGAGCUGCCCUGUGGGUGCUGGGAACUGAACCUGAAUCCUCUAGAAGAGCAGCCAGUGCUCUUAACUGCUGAAGCAUCUCUCCAGCCCCCUCUCUACUUUCUAUAGUGGAAGCAAGCAGAGGCUCCCCUUUUAAACUGUCUCUCUCAAGCUGCUGCGACAGUAAUGGAACACUGAGUAACCCAGAGGGGAGGCUCCAGGUUUGUUCUCUGAGGCUAUGGGAAGAGAGAGAGAUGACAUUGUUGGCAAGCAAGGAUGGGGGAGACUCUUCAAGACCAUUUUCUGGACUGAGCUCCCAGAGUACAGUCGAAGAGAGGGAGGAGAGAUAAUAUGGGCACAGGGGUCAAGACCAUGAUGGGGAUACUCACUGAAACAGCCUACCUGAGCUAAUGGGAGCUCACUGAUGCCAGGCUGACUGCGGGGACCGGGGCAGGGGGUCACACACCAGCAUAGGACCAAACUAGGCCCUGUGAAUGUGCAUGACAAUUAUUUGGCUGGGAGAGUCCAUGGGGUCACUGGCAGUGGGGCUAGGAUUUAAUCCUACAGCUUGAACUGGCUUUUUAGAACCCCUUCUCUGUGGAGGGAUACCUUGCUCAGCCUAGAUAUA